RNAcentral lists this ribosomal RNA (497 nucleotides) under uncultured bacterium. RNAcentral's name for it is "partial 16S ribosomal RNA". It matches the Rfam family "Bacterial small subunit ribosomal RNA", at positions 28 to 507 of the family's 1533-position model. The record is from RNAcentral.
GAUGAACGCUGGCGGCGUGCCUAAUACAUGCAAGUCGAGCGAACAGACGAGGAGCUUGCUCCUCUGACGUUAGCGGCGGACGGGUGAGUAACACGUGGAUAACCUACCUAUAAGACUGGGAUAACUUCGGGAAACCGGAGCUAAUACCGGAUAAUAUAUUGAACCGCAUGGUUCAAUAGUGAAAGACGGUUUUGCUGUCACUUAUAGAUGGAUCCGCGCCGCAUUAGCUAGUUGGUAAGGUAACGGCUUACCAAGGCAACGAGCCGAAGCCGACCUGAGAGGGUGAUCGGCCACCCUGGAACGGAGCCACGGUCCAGACUCCUACGGGAGGCAGCAGUAGGGAAUCUUCCGCAAUGGGCGAAAGCCUGACGGAGCAACGCCGCGUGAGUGAUGAAGGUCUUCGGAUCGUAAAACUCUGUUAUUAGGGAAGAACAAAUGUGUAAGUAACUAUGCACGUCUUGACGGUACCUAAUCAGAAAGCCACGGCUAACUACGUG